Molecule: long non-coding RNA, 4237 nt
Organism: Pongo pygmaeus (Bornean orangutan)
Lineage: Eukaryota; Metazoa; Chordata; Mammalia; Primates; Hominidae
Exons: 3
Source: RefSeq, a predicted model, not a curated record
UGCUCUCGGCUUCCGCUCUUUCUGCCCAGCUCGGCUCUCCCGCCCGCCCUCGCCCCAGGUGCCACCCUCCUUUCGCUCUCUCUGCCCCGCGACCUCCCGCCCUUGGCGCCGGUGCCACCGCUUUUCGGCCCAGCUCGGAUCCUCCCGCCCGGCCUCGGCUACUUCCGCCUCGCCGCGGCUUCCCCCGCCCAGCUUCGGCUUCCUUCGCGCCUGGCUUCGGCUCUUUCCGCCCAGCUUCGGCUUCCCCACCCGUCCUCGACUCGCGUCCCACCAUGGCGCUGCGUUUCCCUCUCUGUCUCCGACCUGAAACUUCCCCUCCCUCCGCGCCUGGCCAUAGCUCGGCUUCUCCGCCGCCCUUCCUGCUGCUUUUAGGCCCGGCUCGGCUCCUCCCGCCUGGACUUGGCUCCUCCCAUUGGCCUUGGCUCUUCCGGUUCCUCUCUGCCGACCUCGGCUCCCACCACCCGUCUUUGGCUCCCCUCGCCCAGCCUUGGCUUCGCCGCCGCUCCUCGGCUCAGUUCGUUCAGUUCGGAUUUCUCCGCCCGGCCUCGGUUUUCUCCGAUUUCGCUGCUUCAGUUCGGCUCUUUCCGCCUCUCCCCAUGGCACCCUGGGCUCGGCGUGGCUCUGGGUCUGGUUGGGUCUUCGUCUUAGUCCGGGGGAGUUGCACUAAUUGAGUACCCGUCAUUAUGAUAUGGAGGUGCCACUGUCUCCACAUCCUGGCCAAUCUGUUACCUUUUUAAAAGAAAAAAAUUCCUGAUCAAUGAAAAAGGGAAUCUCAAUGUAUUCCCAUUUUUCUUAGGAGAGCCACUUGUAUUUCUGUGAACUGUUGUUAGCAUUUGCUCCUUUCUCUAAUUAACUCUUGGUCUUUCUCUUACUGCUUCGUAGGAGUUCUUGAAUACUAACAAAUUAUUAUGAGCAAUGUUCAAGCAUGGAAAUAAUUUUUGAAAAAAUGUACAGGAACAUUCAUCAGUAACAUUUUACUAUACUUUGUCAUAUACAUCUCUGUAUCACCCAUCAAUUCAUCUUUUUAAAUGCAUUUUGAAGUAGGAUGCAGAUAGCUUACAUAUCAUUAAUUAGAGUUCAAAAUUUGGGGCUGGAAGAUCUAAGGUGGCUCAUCCCCUGGCUAGCAAUGUGGUGCUGGUGAGUUGGUUACUGGUUACGGGGCUGCUUGAGUCUCCUCAUGCCAUGGCGGAUGGCUUCUCCUAGAGAAGGAGCAAUAGAAGAGCAAGGAGGAAGCUUCAGUGUGUCUUAUGACCUAGCCUCAGAUGUCACAUGCAGCAGUGCUGUAUUGAUCAUGUGGGUCAUGUAUGAUUCAAUAUUGGAGGUGGGGUACACAGGACAGGAAUAUCAGGUGGCAAGGGUCUUUGGUGAGCAUUCUGAAGGCUAGUCAACACACCCACCUUUCCUUCAGACCACCUCUUUUCAUCAGCCCGGAAUCUCUUUUUUUGUGCUGGAGUGCCUGAUCUGAUUGUAGCUGUUUGAGGCAUCUGGAAUUCAUGGCCGGGUUUAGAACAACUUGGAAGGUCUCCUUUCCCCCUCUUCUCUUUCUUUUACCCUUCUCCCCUCUCUCUUCCUCUCAGCCUCACCCCCAGCUCUAGUCUUUCUUUGCUUCUAGUGAGCGAGCAGGAGAUGCUCUGAGAGUCAACUGGGAAUGCAGCUGAUAAGGGUCUGCUGGGUGCAGGAAAUGUUGGAAGGUUUGCUUGCUGGGCUGUGUCACCUCCUGUAUUAUGGGAGCUUAGAGUAUUUGCCAGCUUGUCAGGACUACCAUCGUCUUCCAUGUUCUGAGACUGGAGUACCCAACAUUCUCCUAGCAGGGGACACUUGGCUUGAUAGGGCUCUAUCAAUGUAUAUUGUGAGGGUAGAGAUAUUCAUAUUGCAAGGGGAGGCUGCAAGAGUUGCCUGCUGGGGUUAAGAUUAUUCCUUGUGUUUGGGAUAAAGGAGGGGUCACCGCAUGGGCAGUCAACUCAUGUUGGGGGAGACAGGGGAUUUGCAUUCUGGGCUCCCCUUCUCAUUUAUGUUAAGGGUGUUGCUUGCUGAUGCUUCUAACAACUCUUACUUUGGGAUAGUGGGAAGAGAGUUAGUUUUCUGGGGUAUGAGUUUGUCACUUACAUUGUAGAAUCUGGGGGGCUGCCUGUUGAGAUUCUGACCAUUGCUUGUUUUGGGUGUCAUUGCUGGGGAUACUUAUUUGUAGUCUUGGGAAGACAACGGAUGCAUGUUGCAGCGGUAUUGGUUAAGAAUGGUGGCAUUUGCUGGAGUUCUUUUUUUUUUUUUUUUUUUGAGACGGAAUCUUGCCCUGUCUCCCAGGCUUGAGUGCAGUGGUGCAAUGUUGGCUCACUGCAACCUCUGCCUCCCGGGUUCAAGUGAUUCCCCUGCCUCAGUCUCCCGAGUAGCUGGGAAUACAGGCACAUGUCACCACGCCUGGCUAAUUUUUGUAUUUUUAGUAGAGACAGGGUUUCACCAUAUUGGUCAGGCUGGUCUCGAACUCCUGACCUCGUGAUCCACCUGCCUCGGCCUCCCAAAGUGCUGGGAUUACAGGUGUGAGCUACCGCACCCGGCCUGGAGUUCCUUUCUUGAGUGUGUAGAGGAUUGAGGGUUGAUUGGUUUUUGGAGUUUCCAUCAUCAUUAAUGUAGGAACGAUACGGGGAAUCACUUGGCGAAGCUUUCGUUGUCUCUGAUGUUGGAGGUAACUGGAGGGCCAGUGCCUGGGGCUUCCAUUUUUUUCUAGUGUUGAAGGGUCAAGAGCAUUUAUCAGAUAGAGGCCUUACUGUGUAUUGUUUGGGGAGAGGAUGGAGGGAUUAUUGGAUGGGGUUCCACUUAUCUCUAGUUGGGGAGGGUCAUAUUCUGGGUCUCCCCUUGCCUGUACUGUUGGUAUAGACUGGGUAGGCCAUUGGGCUUGGAGUCCCCAUUCUUUAGUGUUGAGGGGCAUCUGAAUGGGUCAUUUCAGGGACUUCUGUUAUAGUUUUGGAUGUGACUGAGGGGUGCUUGCUGGAGUAGUUUUGGGAUGAUGGAGGUCUUCAUGUUUGGACUCCAUCUUUUGUGUUUGUAAGUGAUUGAGGGGUGGAGAUCUGACAUCCUGUUGCCUUUUGUUUUGGGGGUGACUGGUGGUUACCUGCUAGGGCUUCUGUCAGCUCUACUGCUGUAUGCAGAUUGUGAGAAUCACUUGCUGGGGCUUCCAUAAUCUCUAGUCUUAGGGGGACUGGGAAAUGGCUUGCAAUGCCUUCUAUUAUCUCUAGUUUUAAGGGACCAGUUCAAUGUGAUUUAAAACUCUUUUUAUUUGAAAAAAAAAAAAAUUAGGGCUGGGCGUGUUGGCUCACGCCUAUAAUCCUAACACUUUUGGGAGGCCAAGGCAGAUGGAUCACUUGAGGUCAGGAGUUCGAGACCAGCCUGGCCACCAUGGCAAAACCCCGUCUCUACUAAAAAUACAAAAAUUAGCCGGGAGUGGUGGUGCACGCCUGUAGUCGCAGCUACUCGGAGGCUGAGGCAAGAGAAUCGCUUGAACCCAGGAGGCGGAAGUUGCAGUGAGGAAAGUUCUCCAAGUCCCCACUCGACCCAGGAAGUCCAGCUGGCUUCACCUCUCUUUGAGUUUGCAGGAUGGCAGGCUUAUGGGUGUCCUAUGAUCUGCCAUUUGUUUGGAAGCUGGAGAACCAAGAAAGCUGGUAGUCUUGCUCCAGUCCAAGUUCAAAGACCUGAAAACAGGGGAGCCAACAGUGUAAACCCCAGUGUGAAGUCCAAAGGCUUGAGAACCGGGAGGGCCAAUGGUGUAAGUUGCGAGUCUGAGUCUGAAGGCUGGAGAACCAGAAGCACCCAUAUCUGAGGUGGGGAGAAGACCGAUGUUCCAUUUCAAGUACCUUUUGUGGUUUCCCUACAUCCUGUUCACAAUUCUGUGAGUAGUCCCUUGAUAUAAACUGCGCUUGAAUCAUCCCAGUUGACGUGUGUGUCAACUGUUUCCUGCUGGGGCUCUUGAUAUUCCAACUUCCUGAACAUGUAAGGAAAAGCCCUAACAAUGACCUACAAAGCCCCACAAGAUCAGGAUCUGCAUCUCCGAUUAUCCUCUAAUCCCUGAAUCCCUAUUUUACCUGAGUCAUACUGGCCUCUGUGCUGUGGGUCUUUGCAUGCCAACAGUGCUCUUGCCACAGAAAUUCACAUGACUCAAGUUCCUACUCAAGUCUGUCCUCAAAUGCACCUUAACUGGGGGCCUUUCCCUUCCUAUACUAUAUAAAAUGGCAAGUCCCCGGCCCUC